GGUAGUAUGGCCGAGAGCGAGGCGGCGAGCUGUAACUCGCAAAGGGGAGAGCACAAUGCGGGGUCCCUGGCUAUCA
Molecule: transfer RNA, 76 nt
Filed under: Gehyra mutilata (stump-toed gecko)
Lineage: Eukaryota; Metazoa; Chordata; Lepidosauria; Squamata; Gekkonidae
Description: tRNA-Tyr
Source: RNAcentral